Molecule: transfer RNA, 76 nt
Filed under: Bacillus subtilis XF-1
Lineage: Bacteria; Bacillati; Bacillota; Bacilli; Caryophanales; Bacillaceae
Description: tRNA-Val
Rfam family: tRNA
About the family: Transfer RNA (tRNA) molecules are approximately 80 nucleotides in length.
Source: RNAcentral
UGGAGGAUUAGCUCAGCUGGGAGAGCAUCUGCCUUACAAGCAGAGGGUCGGCGGUUCGAGCCCGUCAUCCUCCACC